RNAcentral lists this ribosomal RNA (768 nucleotides) under uncultured bacterium. Its description in RNAcentral is "bacterial SSU rRNA". It matches the Rfam family "Bacterial small subunit ribosomal RNA", at positions 28 to 776 of the family's 1533-position model. The record is from RNAcentral.
GACGAACGCUGGCGGCGUGCCUAAUACAUGCAAGUCGAGCGAAGUUUUUCUGGUGCUUGCACCGGAAAAACUUAGCGGCGAACGGGUGAGUAACACGUAAAGAACCUGCCUCAUAGACUGGGACAACUAUUGGAAACGAUAGCUAAUACCGGAUAACAGCAUUAACUGCAUGGUUGAUGUUUAAAAGUUGGUUUUGCUAACACUAUGAGAUGGCUUUGCGGUGCAUUAGCUAGUUGGUGGGGUAAAGGCCUACCAAGGCGACGAUGCAUAGCCGACCUGAGAGGGUGAUCGGCCACACUGGGACUGAGACACGGCCCAGACUCCUACGGGAGGCAGCAGUAGGGAAUCUUCCGCAAUGGGCGAAAGCCUGACGGAGCAACGCCGCGUGAGUGAAGAAGGAUUUCGGUUCGUAAAGCUCUGUUGUUAGGGAAGAAUGAUUGUGUAGUAACUAUACACAGUAGGGACGGUACCUAACCAGAAAGCCACGGCUAACUACGUGCCAGCAGCCGCGGUAAUACGUAGGUGGCAAGCGUUGUCCGGAAUUAUUGGGCGUAAAGCGCGCGCAGGUGGUUUAAUAAGUCUGAUGUGAAAGCCCACGGCUCAACCGUGGAGGGUCAUUGGAAACUGUUAAACUUGAGUGCAGGAGAGAAAAGUGGAAUUCCUAGUGUAGCGGUGAAAUGCGUAGAGAUUAGGAGGGACACCAGUGGCGAAGGCGGCUUUUUGGCCUGUAACUGACACUGAGGCGCGAAAGCGUGGGGAGCAAACAGG